This 21-nucleotide non-coding RNA is filed under the name Caenorhabditis elegans. The record is from RNAcentral. Lineage: Eukaryota; Metazoa; Nematoda; Chromadorea; Rhabditida; Rhabditidae.
UUUAGUAAUGACAAUCGCUAA